CCCUACGGGGGGCAGCAGUCGAGAAUCAUUCACAAUGGGGGAAACCCUGGUGGUGCGACGCCGCGUGGGGGAAUGAAGGUCUUCGGAUUGUAAACCUCUUUUGCCGGGGAGCAAAAAGCGGUACGUGUACCGCAUCGAGAGUACCCGGAGAAAAAGCAUCGGCUAACUCCGUGCCAGCAGCCGCGGUAAUACGGAGGAUGCGAGCGUUAUCCGGAUUUAUUGGGUUUAAAGGGUGCGCAGGCGGCGAGUUAAGUCAGCGGUAAAAUUUCGGGGCUCAACCCCGACGAGCCGUUGAAACUGGCUUG
Molecule: ribosomal RNA, 305 nt
Filed under: uncultured bacterium
Lineage: Bacteria
Description: bacterial SSU rRNA
Rfam family: Bacterial small subunit ribosomal RNA
Source: RNAcentral